UGUAAGUGAGUUUUUAGUAAGAAGUAAGAUUAGGAGGCACUUUGCUUAUAGCGGAUGUAAUAAAUAGUAAGGUAAAAGAGAUGCGGGUUAGUUUAACUGAAGAUUAACUGACAAGAAAUGGUGCGUCCGAGUGGACUCGAACCACCGACCCCCACCA
RNAcentral lists this antisense RNA (157 nucleotides) under Xenorhabdus nematophila. RNAcentral's name for it is "Bacterial antisense RNA HPnc0260". It matches the Rfam family "Bacterial antisense RNA HPnc0260". The record is from RNAcentral. Lineage: Bacteria; Pseudomonadati; Pseudomonadota; Gammaproteobacteria; Enterobacterales; Morganellaceae.